CAGUUUUGAAUCCCCCCUCCCAGUGCCUGCCACUACUCUGGUGCCUGGCUGUGGUGCUGCUGCAGCCACGGGCUUCAGCCUCCCCUCACAUGGUGGCAGCAUUAUAAUGGGCUGGGGAGCCAAGUGGUCACUUAGAUCUUGGCUCCGUUAUAGCCCUGCCCUCAGGUACAAACCCUGUAUUCUGUUUAAGUGUUCCUUUGUACAGCAGAGCAAUGUCUACACUCUGUCCUCCAUCCAGGGGAGCAAGAGGCAUGAUGAGAGUUCAAGGGCACCUGUCAGCCAGGCUUCUGUUUCUCAACAAAUGUGGGGCAGAUGAGGCAAUGAACCUCAGAUUUUUCACCUUUCUCCUGCCAGAGCAUACCCAUCCAUCAUGGUCAUCACUAUUUUCUGAACCUUGCUUAGGAGAAUAGGAUAGGAACAGACUUUGCAACAGGACACCUCACUAAC
This is a long non-coding RNA of Rhineura floridana, 447 nucleotides long. RefSeq lists it as uncharacterized. The record is from RefSeq and is a predicted model, not a curated record. The transcript is spliced from 3 exons. Lineage: Eukaryota; Metazoa; Chordata; Lepidosauria; Squamata; Rhineuridae.